UGCAGUCGAGCGCAGUCCUUCGGGACCGAGCGGCGGACGGGUUAGUAACGCGUGGGAAUAUACCCAGAUCUAAGGAAUAGCCUCGGGAAACUGAGAGUAAUACCUUAUACGCCCUUCGGGGGAAAGAUUUAUCGGAUUUGGAUUAGCCCGCGUUAGAUUAGAUAGUUGGUGGGGUAAUGGCCUACCAAGACGACGAUCUAUAGCUGGUCUGAGAGGAUGAUCAGCCACACUGGGACUGAGACACGGCCCAGACUCCUACGGGAGGCAGCAGUGGGGAAUAUUGGACAAUGGGCGCAAGCCUGAUCCAGCCAUGCCGCGUGAGUGAUGAAGGCCUUAGGGUUGUAAAGCUCUUUCGCUAGGGAAGAUAAUGACGGUACCUAGUAAAGAAGCCCCGGCUAACUUCGUGCCAGCAGCCGCGGUAAUACGAAGGGGGCUAACGUUGUUCGGAUUUACUGGGCGUAAAGCGCACGUAGGCGGAUUAGCAAGUUAGGGGUGAAAUCCCGGAGCUCAACUCCGGAACUGCCUUUAAAACUGCUAGUCUAGAGAUCGGGAGAGGUGUAUGGAACUCCUAGUGUAGAGGUGGAAUUCGUAGAUAUUAGGAAGAACACCAGUGGCGAAGGCGAUACA
RNAcentral lists this ribosomal RNA (627 nucleotides) under uncultured bacterium. RNAcentral describes it as "bacterial SSU rRNA". It matches the Rfam family "Bacterial small subunit ribosomal RNA", at positions 56 to 728 of the family's 1533-position model. The record is from RNAcentral.